This is a non-coding RNA of Onthophagus taurus, 534 nucleotides long. The record is from RefSeq and is a predicted model, not a curated record. Lineage: Eukaryota; Metazoa; Arthropoda; Insecta; Coleoptera; Scarabaeidae.
UAUUACUACGAUAUAUUUCAAAUAGUUGUUACGUUUAACUCUCCUCAGGAUUGUAACCCCAUAAGAUUUGUAAUAAAAUGCUCGAUUAAUGGUCAAAUACACCAUAUCAAUACGGUCGAUGAGAACACCGCGGUGGGAGUCAUUCAGUUGAUAGAACAUUUAUCUUGCAAAGAUGAUGUGGAAGUAUCUGUUGUGUCUUAUGGCGAAGAUGAUGUCGAACUUGGGGAAUCAGAUGUUGUGGAAGUGGUAAUAAAACCAUGUAAAGAAUGUGAAGCCGAAAUUACUGGUAUAGAAUAUGAUGGGCGUUCUCAAUUAAUUCUUUCAAUUAUUCCUCCGCAAUCGAUUUGUGAUGAAGCUGCAAGCAUCAAACUAAAAAGUUAUAUCGAUGAUGACACCACUAUUCAUGGUAAUAUUUACAUCGAGGAUACAGUGGGAAUUAUUUCAUUAUCGGAACCGUUAAGUUGCGAAUCUGAUGUUAAAGUAACGACAGAAACUUACGAUGUAAAUGAUUUGAUCGUUGUUGAAUCACAUAUG